This 416-nucleotide ribosomal RNA is filed under the name uncultured Methylocystaceae bacterium. RNAcentral's name for it is "bacterial SSU rRNA". It matches the Rfam family "Bacterial small subunit ribosomal RNA", at positions 1 to 451 of the family's 1533-position model. The record is from RNAcentral. Lineage: Bacteria; Pseudomonadati; Pseudomonadota; Alphaproteobacteria; Hyphomicrobiales; Methylocystaceae.
UAGAGUUUGAUCAUGGCUCAGAACGAACGCUGGCGGCAGGCCUAACACAUGCAAGUCGAACGCUGUAGCAAUACAGAGUGGCAGACGGGUGAGUAACGCGUGGGAACGUGCCUUUCGGUUCGGAAUAACUCAGGGAAACUUGAGCUAAUACCGGAUACGCCCUUCGGGGGAAAGAUUUAUUGCCGAAAGAUCGGCCCGCGUCCGAUUAGCUAGUUGGUGUGGUAAUGGCGCACCAAGGCGACGAUCGGUAGCUGGUCUGAGAGGAUGAUCAGCCACACUGGGACUGAGACACGGCCCAGACUCCUACGGGAGGCAGCAGCGGGGAAUAUUGGACAAUGGGCGCAAGCCUGAUCCAGCCAUGCCGCGUGAGUGAUGAAGGCCCUAGGGUUGUAAAGCUCUUUCGCCAGGGACGAUAA